AAUGGACCAAAUGAUUUCUUUAAGCCCUGAACUGCCACGACCCUAAGCCAGAAUUAGGUAAGAAUGUGCCAUUACUUGCUGACAUCCUUGCAAGAAUCUUCUGCAUUAUGCAUGGGAAUUUUCCAAUUCUUCACUCUUCAUUGACUAGAAUUUUUUUUUUUUUUGGUUGAAAUAUGUUACUUCAUUUACCUCAGUCCUCGGUAUUUUGCAGAAGGGGUAAAUGCUGCCAUGUAAACACAUGAUACUGGCAGAAGGCUGGUGCUGCUUCAAGCCAGUGUUUUACUGUGGUUGGAGUAAAUGUCAUGGAGGUUUCUUCCUCUUUUCUUUAACAGAUCUCUUGUGCUUUUCCCCUUCCUUCUACAGUUGGUACCCCUUAUCCCCUCUUUGUCAUUUAUCAACUUGAGGGCUUCAGGGAAAAACUUCAGACAUCCACGAGGAAGUGAAUCCUCAAAGAGGACUGCCCUGGAGCAUUAAUAAUGAUGCCCCUCCUGGGCCAUAACAGGCUGAGCUUCAGCAAAUCCCUUUCCUGAAUGUUUAAUAUACCGGAGGCUUAUUUAGAUUCUACAUGGGGAGCCUCAUUUAAAUUAUUUAAGCAUUUUAAGGGCAUUAGUAAUUCCCCAACAGCAGCGCAGAGGGUGAUAUGGCUGAACACAUGUCAUAUAAUCAGAUUUUUAAAAUUUCAACUCAUCAAUUGAUGAUGAUAAUAUACU
RNAcentral lists this long non-coding RNA (710 nucleotides) under Homo sapiens (human). RNAcentral describes it as "non-protein coding lnc-MEIS1-12:1". Lineage: Eukaryota; Metazoa; Chordata; Mammalia; Primates; Hominidae. The record is from RNAcentral.